GACGAACCGUGCGAACGUUGUUCGGAAUCACUGGGCUUAAAGGGCGCGUAGGCGGGCUGUCAAGUCUGGGGUGAAAUCCUCCGGCUCAACCGGGGAACGGCCUCGGAUACUGGCGGUCUGGAGGGAGGUAGGGGCGUGCGGAACUCCGGGUGGAGCGGUGAAAUGCGUUGAGAUCCGGAGGAACUCCGGUGGCGAAGGCGGCUCGCUGGUCCUUUACUGACGCUGAGGCGCGAAAGCCAGGGGAGCAAACGGG
Molecule: ribosomal RNA, 253 nt
Filed under: uncultured bacterium
Lineage: Bacteria
Description: partial 16S ribosomal RNA
Rfam family: Bacterial small subunit ribosomal RNA
Source: RNAcentral